RNAcentral lists this long non-coding RNA (2716 nucleotides) under Diabrotica virgifera virgifera (western corn rootworm). RNAcentral describes it as "uncharacterized LOC126891769". The record is from RNAcentral. Lineage: Eukaryota; Metazoa; Arthropoda; Insecta; Coleoptera; Chrysomelidae.
UCACGUCAUCUUCAUCGGCCGGAUCUUCGUCGGUCAAAAUGUUACUACAUAGCAAAUAAAGGAUCCUUUAUUACAGGAUACUUUAAUAAAGGACAAAUACAGGACGGGUCUAAAAGAGAGUUGCGGUUAAAACUCGCCCUGAUGGAAUACAAUGUUGCCUAAUUUACUGUUCCGUUCCGUCACAAAUCGUCUGUCAUUCAAGUCAUUCUGCCAAAAACAAAUUUGUUUGGUUUUGUUUUCAAAAUUGUUGAAGUUCUAUUUUCUAUUUGGUUCUAUUUUUUAGUCAUGAAGUUAAGUAGUAUCGUGGGAUAUUUGAAGUUCUUGGGUACUGAAAAUUCAAGAAGUUUUAGAAGGAAAACAAGUUUUAAACUCUGGUCAUCUUAUUUUGGCUGGAAAAAUAGAUGAAAGUUCUCAGCAUACCAUCAAAAUAUAUGGUUUAUUCCUUCAGUAAGGUCCAAUCCCCACGAAAUUAAAGGAACCCUAUCUUUCACAAAUGGCAUGAGUAUUAGCCAAAUGUUAUGUUCUUGUAAAGCAGAAAAUAGUGGAAAAUGUAAACAUGUCUACUCUUGCUAAAUUUAAGUAUAAGGGAAGAUGUGAAAUUAAUGGAACAUUCAGUACAUGAGUUGAAAAAAAUGUUAACAAAUUGGCAAAUGAAGACCAUUUUUAAUUGAUCUAAACCUUUAUAGAAACAAAGUAUAUGGUUAAUAUAAAAUAUUACCUGCCUGAAGUAACCUGGUGUACAAAUCAAUAGUAACCAUAAUUUUUAUUCCCAGGGCCAGUGAGAAACAAUGUGCAUUUCAUUUCUAAGUGUUCUAAGGAAAGAUCUUGUAAGCAUAAAUAGAUCUGUACAAUGAAGAUUAACCUAAUCUGUUUAACCAUUGAAAUUAUUGUAUUGUUAUAAAAAUAAUAAAUCUCCAUUUCAUAUUAUGUACACUUACAUACAUUAGCCUGGAAUUUCAUUGUGUCUACAGUAGUGGCCAUAGUCACAAACCUACCCUAGUCUACGGAGGUACUGUCUUUCGCAGAUGUGGUAAUACCGGGUUUGAUACAUUAUUGCUAAAUAAAGUUUGUGAAUAGUAACUUUUCACAAAGUAGACAGUUUUAAUAGUUUUCACUGUACUUAAAUCUUUUUUACAUUCAGUGGUAAUAACAUUAUAUUUUGUUUUGGUAUUUAAAUUUACCUAAAUAUUUACAGAAAUAUGCUAUACUAAAUUCAAGAUGCAGUAGAAAUAAACAAACCAAAACACGUUAAAUGCUACUAUGAGCACUCCGAAAUCAUAAUUUACAAUGUACAGUAGACUCUCAUAAGUUCGGCCUCGGUUAGUUCGGUCUCUGCUUAGUCCGGCCGGCUCUCUGAGCAUUAGUCACACACUUUGCACAUCAAAAAUCAUUAGAAAAGAAAAUUCAGAAAAAAAUUACUGACUUUUUUUAAGUGUUUAAGAAGCCAAACCACCAAUGUGCAAUAUUUUUAAAUUUUAUUAGGCCUAGAGUUCUGUAAGUAUUGCUUUAUAGUAUUUUUGUAACGGUCUAUCUUUUCAAAUGUGUUAAAUAUGUCAGAGUAUUCCUCUGUGUUGUCUUCUACUUAAUGUACAAGUGUUUUGUUUUUGCUAGAUCCAUACAAACAAUAAAUGGGCAUUUUUUAGAUAAGCAUCGGUUAGUUCGGCCACUUUUAAGUUCGGCCUAGGGUCCGGUCCCGAGGUGGCCGAACUUAAGGGAGUCUACUGUAUAUACAUUGUAAAUCCCAAAUCAUGAUUUCCAAAGUUUAUACAUUGUAAAUUAUGAUUCGGGAGUGCUCCUAAUAGUAGUAUUUAACUUGUCUUGAUUUGUUUAUUUCUACUGAAUCUUAAUUUUAAAUUUAGUGUAGAUGUAUCCAUCAUAGGACUCUUACUUAUAGAUGCAAUAAAAUUAUUGCAUCAUAAAAAUAUAAAAUCAUUGCUUUAUUUUCAUUUUAAAUGUUAUACUUCCAGUAUUGUAUGUAGUACCUAGUAUUAAAACAGAUAUUUUUAAUUAAAAAUAUAAGUAUCUUAUUUUUGUAAUGAACAACAUUAAAUUUACUUCUUGCGGGAGUAGAAAAAAGUUAUAGUAAAUAUUUUUAACUCGUUUAGCUUUUGAUGAUAUUUGCCAUACGUUUGUGUAAGACAUGUUUAACGAGUAGUCUAAGGGCAUAUUAUUAUGCUUUGUUAUACAAAAUAGACAUAAAAUUUUGAAACUUUCAGCUUCACUUUUUCAUUGUUUCAAUAUUAAAUCCCAAAUUUAGACUCUCCACCAUUUUCUCAUAAAAAAGUAUGUUCAGUUUUUACCCCAGGUAGACCGAAACCACCAAAAAAUUGAUGUUACUAAAUGUGUUUCAUCAGAUACACAAAAUAAAUGCAACUGAUUAUGUGCAGAUAGUGGUGUCCCUUUUAAUUUUUAUUCCUAAAAACUUUACUGUUAAACCAAAGUUUUAGUUAAAAAAAAAAACAAAAUGUUUGCUUUCUGUGUGGAGUUACAAAAAUAAGUUGAAAUGCUAUUUAAUUUCGUAUUAUAUCCUGGUGAUCCUCUGCCAUACUAAUUUUACAUUGUUCUUACAUGCAAGCAUUUGUAAAUUAAUUUACCAUUAAAGGGCGGCCCAAGGUAUAUUCAUCUUAAAUGGGUGGUUGUAGUUUUGUAUAUUUUAUUUUUAUUUUAGUUUUGUAAUAUUUUUAAGAACAAAUAAAAUAAUUAUAAUUAUUCUGAA